This 548-nucleotide ribosomal RNA is filed under the name uncultured bacterium. Its description in RNAcentral is "bacterial SSU rRNA". It matches the Rfam family "Bacterial small subunit ribosomal RNA", at positions 355 to 896 of the family's 1533-position model. The record is from RNAcentral.
UGGGGAAUUUUGGACAAUGGGCGCAAGCCUGAUCCAGCAAUGCCGCGUGAGUGAAGAAGGCCUUCGGGUUGUAAAGCUCUUUCAGUCGAGAAGAAAAGGCUGCAGUGAAUAACUGUAGUUUAUGACGGUAUCGACAGAAGAAGCACCGGCUAACUACGUGCCAGCAGCCGCGGUAAUACGUAGGGUGCGAGCGUUAAUCGGAAUUACUGGGCGUAAAGGGUGCGCAGGCGGUUUUGUAAGUCAGAUGUGAAAUCCCCGGGCUUAACCUGGGAAUUGCGUUUGAAACUACAAGACUAGAGUGUGGCAGAGGGAGGUGGAAUUCCAUGUGUAGCAGUGAAAUGCGUAGAGAUAUGGAAGAACAUCGAUGGCGAAGGCAGCCUCCUGGGUUAACACUGACGCUCAUGCACGAAAGCGUGGGGAGCAAACAGGAUUAGAUACCCUGGUAGUCCACGCCCUAAACGAUGUCAACUAGUUGUCGGGCCUUACUAGGCUUGGUAACGAAGCUAACGCGUGAAGUUGACCGCCUGGGGAGUACGGUCGCAAGAUUA